Non-coding RNA from Podarcis lilfordi (Lilford's wall lizard), 69 nucleotides. Lineage: Eukaryota; Metazoa; Chordata; Lepidosauria; Squamata; Lacertidae. The record is from the annotation of a GenBank genome assembly.
GGAUAGCUCAGUCAGUAGAGCAUGGGACUCCUAAUCUCAGGGACAUGGGUUCAAGCCCUGCAUUGGGCA